This 230-nucleotide long non-coding RNA is filed under the name Gossypium raimondii (Peruvian cotton). Its description in RNAcentral is "long non-coding RNA (GRAI_LNC007980)". Lineage: Eukaryota; Viridiplantae; Streptophyta; Magnoliopsida; Malvales; Malvaceae. The record is from RNAcentral.
CAUAUUUAAAGUCCAUGUCCAAAUUACAGUAAAAUUAACAGGGCCCAGUAAACUAAACCCAAUUAGCCUAAGCCCAACACCCUAGCCCAACUAGCCUAAACCAGCCUUGACAGAAACCCUAGUAGCAACAGCAUCUAGCAGCGCCGCAAUCGAGCCCAGGGCCUCCCCGAGCGUGCUGCGUCUCCGCGUGCAUGCGCUCCUCCUCCGUACGCCCGUACCUGCAACAAACG